This 404-nucleotide ribosomal RNA is filed under the name uncultured bacterium. Its description in RNAcentral is "bacterial SSU rRNA". It matches the Rfam family "Bacterial small subunit ribosomal RNA", at positions 355 to 776 of the family's 1533-position model. The record is from RNAcentral.
UGGGGAAUCUUGGACAAUGGGCGCAAGCCUGAUCCAGCCAUGCCGCGUGAGUGAAGAAGGCCUUAGGGUUGUAAAGCUCUUUUGGCAGGGACGAUAAUGACGGUACCUGCAGAAUAAGCCCCGGCAAACUUCGUGCCAGCAGCCGCGGUAAUACGAAGGGGGCUAGCGUUGUUCGGAUUUACUGGGCGUAAAGCGCACGUAGGCGGAUUGUUAAGUCAGGGGUGAAAUCCCGGAGCUCAACUCCGGAACUGCCUUUGAUACUGGCAAUCUUGAGGCUGGAAGAGGUUGGUAGAAUUCCCAGUGUAGAGGUGAAAUUCGUAGAUAUUGGGAAGAAUACCAGUGGCGAAGGCGGCCAACUGGUCCAGAUCUGACGCUGAGGUGCGAAAGCGUGGGGAGCAAACAGG